This 492-nucleotide ribosomal RNA is filed under the name uncultured bacterium. RNAcentral's name for it is "partial 16S ribosomal RNA". It matches the Rfam family "Bacterial small subunit ribosomal RNA", at positions 29 to 507 of the family's 1533-position model. The record is from RNAcentral.
AGUGAACGCUGGCGGUAGGCCUAACACAUGCAAGUCGAACGGCAGCACAGUAAGAGCUUGCUCUUACGGGUGGCGAGUGGCGGACGGGUGAGGAAUACAUCGGAAUCUACUUUUUCGUGGGGGAUAACGUAGGGAAACUUACGCUAAUACCGCAUACGACCUACGGGUGAAAGCAGGGGAUCUUCGGACCUUGCGCGAUUGAAUGAGCCGAUGUCGGAUUAGCUAGCUAGCGGGGUAAAGGCCCACCAAGGCGACGAUCCGUAGCUGGUCUGAGAGGAUGAUCAGCCACACUGGAACUGAGACACGGUCCAGACUCCUACGGGAGGCAGCAGUGGGGAAUAUUGGACAAUGGGCGCAAGCCUGAUCCAGCCAUACCGCGUGGGUGAAGAAGGCCUUCGGGUUGUAAAGCCCUUUUGUUGGGAAAGAAAAGCAGCAGGUUAAUACCCCGCUGUUCUGACGGUACCCAAAGAAUAAGCACCGGCUAACUUCGUG